This is a long non-coding RNA of Bufo bufo (common toad), 137 nucleotides long. RefSeq lists it as uncharacterized. The record is from RefSeq and is a predicted model, not a curated record. Lineage: Eukaryota; Metazoa; Chordata; Amphibia; Anura; Bufonidae. The transcript is spliced from 3 exons.
UUAAACUAACACAGCAGAAACUAAGAUUUCUGUGAAAAGAAAAAAGGUGGGGGUCAACUGAUCCCCCGUAGCUGUCCUGCAAUGUGGUGGAAUGAUCUGCUAAUUUAGCUUUUGUCCAUUUCGGUAGUUGUGCUAUA